Gymnodraco acuticeps is the source of this 2110-nucleotide long non-coding RNA. RefSeq lists it as uncharacterized. The record is from RefSeq and is a predicted model, not a curated record. The transcript has 7 exons. Lineage: Eukaryota; Metazoa; Chordata; Actinopteri; Perciformes; Bathydraconidae.
AAUUUAAAAAAAAGUUCUACUAACUUCAAUAUAUUCAGUUCCUGUGACUGUUCUUCGUUUUUGAGUUAAGUAAACUGAUAAUCUUUGAUUAACUUGAACUAUUUGGCGGAUUAAGUAAGCAUCACUUAAACAUAUACAUUGAACUGUACUCAUUUCUAAUGCUUAUUGUGUGUCUGACGUCACUAACCGUCACUAACUGUCGAAAGUGGGAUGCAGCACAUGCAGCUAAUACCUGCAAUAAGGUGGAUCUUCACACUUAAUUUCCACACUUUCCGGUGGUAAUCAGCAUCAUUGGUCUCACUGUUUCAACCUCUUUAUACGGUUUCAACGAGCGUGAGGCCACACACACGGGACGGAGCAGAGCAGAGACAGGUUUCAACCUCUGUAUACGGGUUCAACAAGCGCGAGGCCACACACAUGGGGCAGAGCAGAGAAAGACCCUCACAUCGUACAAGGAAAAACUUCCGAAGAAAACCCACAGUUUAAAGGGAAAAAUGGGAGAAACCUCAGGGAGAGCAACAGAGGAGGGAUCCCUCUCCCAGGACGGACAGACAAUGGAUGUUUAAGAAGUUAUUAGGCAGUAGCUUACAUUACAUUUUAAAUAUAGGAUUUGUUCAACCUUCCCCAAGGAGAGGAUCUCUCAAGUCUUGAGCACUUGAGGCAGACAAUUGUUGAGGAAGUCAAGAAGACUGAGAUGGACCUACCCCUCAUUAAAAAGAUGAUGCACACCACAUUUGCACUGCGGGGACAGACCAUAGUGAGGACAUGCCCGGCAGUGAACGAGCUCAUGGACCUCUGGCCUGCUCUCAAAAUGGAGUCUGAGGUGUAUGCAGAGUUCCAACGGAUUACAAACCAGAAUCUGCCCAACACGUUCUACGCUGCUUUUGACCGCCAUCUUCCUCGACUGAUGGCCAUAUUUAGACAGAAGGCGUCCAAAUCUGGGAGACAGCUGAGGCUUUGGCUGAAAUUUUAAAAAUCCACAAUGAACAGGAAUUACACGACAUCAACACCAGGCGUACCACCGUUAUCCAUGCCCUUCCUGUGUAUCUGCAAGAGGACACCUCUGGAUUUGUACGAACCUGCACAGAAGAGUCCGAACCAGAGCUUGGAGGUGUUGCAGUGGCCCUCCUUACUGUCACCAGUGACAAUGGCACAAGUCAAGUGCAAUAUCAGCCUGUGACCAUCUCUGUUGUCAUCGAAAAUGAUAUUGUGGUCAGCCUCCUCAGACUUGCAGAUGCAUUCCUGGUAAUGUUUGGACUAAUUUAUGCAGUACACCUCAGCUAUCCCAAAGGACUGACAAACACUUUCGAGUUCACUCAGAAGGUUUUAUUUGGUCUGGAAGAUGGUAAAUUGUCGCCCAAGUUGCAGACCCUCAAGAAUGACUUGCUGAUGCAUGUGUAGAAAUGCAUCUGAAAAACAGGUGUGGAGUGGGGCAUUUUCCCUCUACUUCAAAGUGAUUUCCUUCUGAAAUAAAAAUGUCUUAAGAAAGUUGCUGUACCAGUUGCUGCAGGUUUUCAGCCAGGUGGUCAAGCUGCUCAAUGUUCCCUUUUACUUGUACAUGUUGUAUUAAUGUCAAAUGUGUACUGUUUACCAUUGUUCACAUCAAAGUAUCUUUGAUUUUGAGGGAUGACUGUUUGUACUUUAAUAAUACCAAAUAUUUCUGAUUAACUGGCAUUAAUCAUGUUUGUUUGUUGUUGUUGUUGCACUUUAACUCAUCCAGGUGAAGAUUUGAUACUUGUUCAUGUAAUUCAUUUACAUUUUACAGUUUUACAGUUAAAGGGUUCAGACUGUCAUUGUAAUUUUAUCAAAGUUGUUGCUCUAUUCAGGUUUUAACCAAAAUGUGCCAAAAGUACAAUUGCCUUUGCAUUUUUUUAUUUUUUUUUAUGACUACUUAUUUUACUGUCUUGUAAAUGUUAACAGGACAGCAUGUUAAAUAAGAGGGCUAGAAAAUAAAUUUAGUAAAGCUGUUCAAGUUCACUGUUCACUCGAUUCAAUUGAGGCAAUCAGUUGUGUCAAUGUUUUUAAGUUAUGUGAUUUUGAGUUGACUAAGUCAAUGUGUUUGGUUUGGUUGAAAUAAUAAAUAUUGAGUUCUGUUAACCCAAAAAAAAAA